This is a long non-coding RNA of Felis catus (domestic cat), 2246 nucleotides long. RefSeq lists it as uncharacterized. Lineage: Eukaryota; Metazoa; Chordata; Mammalia; Carnivora; Felidae. The transcript has 3 exons. The record is from RefSeq and is a predicted model, not a curated record.
CGUCUGAGUAGCUGGGACGGUUCUAAUUGUUUGCCCUGGUGGUUGCCUGAAACCCGGCCUUAAUCGUGGCCAAAUGACAUUAGCUGAGGGCGAAGAAGAAAAAUGAGCCCCUGACUUUCUGAGUUGACUAACGACCAGGCACAGUUUCAAGCAACUUGUUUCACAGAUUUACUUAGUUAACAAGCGAGGUUCGAUGGUGUACUGUUGAUGAAGGAAUCGAAAAAAUUUGGGGCACGAGCUCAGCUGAGCUGACAUUCAUCCCUGUUUGCUGACCUCAGGCUCUGUCGCCAACACCUUAAUGUACCAAGUCAGUUUAUUAUCCUCACUUUACAGAAGAACAGAAGGCAGAGAGAUGUUUUGGGGGUGACCAAGUGUCCCGGAUCGCCUGGGAAUGAGAGGUUUCCAGGCACAUGGGGCUUGCAGUGCUGACACCCAGACCGUUCCAGGCAGACCGGGGUGACGGGUCUCGCGCAAAGUAACGCAGUAAGUGACAGAGCCUGCCCUGAAAUCCAGGUGGCCUGACUUUAGGCUCAAACUCUCCACCUCCACCCCGUGGUUCUGGCACCAGAGCCUGCGUCUGAAGUAGCCAGGGAUCUUGUUAAAACCCAAGCCCUGGCCUCACCUUCCCCAUUCAGUUGGCUGGAGGUGGUGGAGGUGGCUGAGAAUUUUCUCUUCUUUUUAAAAUUUAUUUAUUUAUAAGAGAAAGAGAGAGAGAGCAUACGAGCACGAGUGGGGGAGGGGCAGAGAGGGAAAGAGAGAGAAUCCCAAGCAGGCUCCACCAGCGCAGGGCCGGACACGGGGCUCAAGCGCACGAACUUGUGAGAUCAUGACCUGAGCCAAAACCAAGAGCCAGGCGCUUCACCGACUGAGCCACCUGGGAGCCCCGAGAAUUUGCUUUUCUACCACGUCCCCAGCUGACGCCAGUGCCGCUGGUCUGCAGCCUGACUUGGAGAAGCUCCGUGUUGUGCUGCCCUGCCUCCAGACGAGAAGCUUGGAAUGGACUUUUCAGGAAGAGGAGUUAGGAUACACAUAAACGCUGAGAGGAGAUCAUGUGAAGACAUAGAAGGUGGCCGUCUAUAAGCCUAGGAGACAUCUUGCAGAAGAAGCCAGUCCUGUUACACCUUGAUCUUGGCUUUCUAGCCUCCACAACUGCUUUAUUGGUGCCUAAUACAGAGGCAGGGCUUCCCUGCAGCACACACCAGAUCUGUGGAUUGCCUCGUCCACUCACCACAGAAGACCGAGGCUGGAACAGAGAGGGCUGGAGGACUUCUGGGGCACCUGAAGAGGCAGAGAGGAUAGUGACCCACUCAAAACAACUCAGUAGUCCUUUAUUAGACACUGUCAGCUCAGCCGAAGCGUCCGGUCUCACCAGAAGGCCAUUUGAGAAUACCUGUCAAAACUGUACGUCAUCACACUCUGUGAUCUGGCAAUUUUAUUUCCAUAAAUUUACCUUGGGAAAAUAACUGGACUCAGGGAUAUUGGUAGACCUACAAACAGGACUGUUAUAAUAAUGAGAAAAUAAAUGUACUUAGAGGAGAGGCUAAAGUUUUAAAUGAGACACCCGGUCUAUGCAGUACUAUGCAGGCCCCAUAAAAGGAAAAUGAAGAACUCUCACUUCUGGGUCGGAUGGAGUUGUUGGCAGCCAAAUAAUGUUCCCACUGAAAACAACUAGAAAAGCCAGAGGAACAGACGAUAUUUCAGGUUUAAGAGAGGUACAGAAGCAACAGUGGCCAGAAGGGUUAAGGAUGUGCAGAGGGAAGAGCCACAGAGGUGCAAAGUGACAACUUUCAGCCAUCUGCAAUUGCCAAUUCUGGCAAGAGGCUAAGGAUCCAGGUUUUCCCCGGGGGGAAGGCUGCAGGUGAGACAAGAGAAAUUAGCAGAGCCGUUUAUAAUCUCACAGACUGCAGUGACAAAACCGGAAGCCUGAGGAACCUCAAAUAUAUGUUCAGUUAUCACCAUUACCUGAAGUCUGAAAUUUUAUAAAAUGGGAACCUUAAAAGGUGACCCUCAGAUGGUUCCAGCCCCCGGCCUUCAGGCCCCCCACUCCCCCCGCCGAUGCCACACGGGGUGGAAAUAAGCUGACGCCCCCAAGUCCUGCCCAAACGACAGAUUCAUGAACAAAGUAGAUGACUGGUGUUUUAGAAAUGACUUUUUUAAGCUUAUUUAUUUAUUUUGAGAGAUGCAGAGACAGCACGAGUGGGGGAGGGGCAGAGAGAGAGGGAGAGAGAAUCCCAAGCAGGCUCCGC